GAUGAACGCUGGCGACGUGCCUAAUACAUGCAAGUCGAGCGAACAGACGAGGAGCUUGCUCCUCUGACGUUAGCGGCGGACGGGUGAGUAACACGUGGAUAACCUACCUAUAAGACUGGGAUAACUUCGGGAAACCGGAGCUAAUACCGGAUAAUAUAUUGAACCGCAUGGUUCAAUAGUGAAAGACGGUUUUGCUGUCACUUAUAGAUGGAUCCGCGCCGCAUUAGCUAGUUGGUAAGGUAACGGCUUACCAAGGCAACGAUGCGUAGCCGACCUGAGAGGGUGAUCGGCCACACUGGAACUGAGACACGGUCCAGACUCCUACGGGAGGCAGCAGUAGGGAAUCUUCCGCAAUGGGCGAAAGCCUGACGGAGCAACGCCGCGUGAGUGAUGAAGGUCUUCGGAUCGUAAAACUCUGUUAUUAGGGAAGAACAAAUGUGUAAGUAACUAUGCACGUCUUGACGGUACCUAAUCAGAAAGCCACGACUAACUACGUG
RNAcentral lists this ribosomal RNA (497 nucleotides) under uncultured bacterium. Its description in RNAcentral is "partial 16S ribosomal RNA". It matches the Rfam family "Bacterial small subunit ribosomal RNA", at positions 28 to 507 of the family's 1533-position model. The record is from RNAcentral.